CGCGUAGGCGGCAAUGUAAGUCAGCAGUGAAAUUCCACGACUCAAUUGUGAAAGGUCUGUUGAAACUGCAUAGCUAGAGUGGUGAAGAGGUAAGUGGAAUUCCAGGUGUAGCGGUGAAAUGCGUAGAUAUCUGGAAGAACACCAGUGGCGAAGGCGGCUUACUGGUCACCAACUGACGCUGAGGCGCGAAAGCGUGGGGAGCGAACAGGAUUAGAUACCCUGGUAGUCC
This 229-nucleotide ribosomal RNA is filed under the name uncultured bacterium. Its description in RNAcentral is "partial 16S ribosomal RNA". It matches the Rfam family "Bacterial small subunit ribosomal RNA", at positions 568 to 796 of the family's 1533-position model. The record is from RNAcentral.